UUCCUCUCAGGGUCGCACCUGGAGAGUUUCUAGAACUCUACUAGUCCCGACUAUGGGAGGGAGAGUUAAGCAGAGGAAUAUCCAUUCCAUUCCUAGCUUGGGCAGUGUCUAGCAAGUGGAAAGCAAUCUGCUACAAGU
This is a small nucleolar RNA of Tachyglossus aculeatus (Australian echidna), 138 nucleotides long. Lineage: Eukaryota; Metazoa; Chordata; Mammalia; Monotremata; Tachyglossidae. The record is from RefSeq and is a predicted model, not a curated record.